GGGGCUGUAGCNNGGCAGUCAUGAGGUCGAGGGUUCGAUCCCCUUCAGCUCCACCA
This 56-nucleotide transfer RNA is filed under the name Deltaproteobacteria bacterium. RNAcentral describes it as "tRNA-OTHER". Lineage: Bacteria; Pseudomonadati; Myxococcota; Myxococcia. RNAcentral also lists the same sequence under 1 other name. The record is from RNAcentral.